AUGGCAGACAUUGACAAAAAAGAACAGUCUGAACUUGAUCAAGAUUUGAAAGAUGUUGAAGAAGUAGAAGAAGAAGAAACUGGUGAAGAAACAAAAAUCAAAGUGCGUCAGCUGACUGUUCAGAUGAUGCAAAAUCCUCGGAUUCUUGCAGCUCUUCAAGAAAGACUUGAUGGUCUGGUAGAAACACCAACAGCAUACAUUGAAAGCUUGCCUAGGGUAGUUAAAAGACGAGUGAAUGCUCUCAAAAACCUUCAAGUUAAAUGUGCACAGAGAGAAGCCAAAUUCUAUGAGGAAGUUCAUGAUCUUGAAAGGAAGUAUGCUGUUCUCUAUCCACCUCUAUUUGAUAAGCGAUUUGAGAUCAUUAAUGCAGUUUAUGAACCUACAGAAGAAGAAUGUGAAUGAAACCAGAUGAAGAAGAGGAAAUUUAGGAGGAGCUGAAAAAAAAGGCCAAGAUGGAAGAUGAGAAAAAAGAUGAAGAAAAAGAAGACCCUAAAGGAAUUCCUGAAUUUUGGUUGACUGUUUUUAAGAAUGUUGACUUGCUCAGUGACAUGGUUCAGGAACAUGAUGAACCUAUUCUGAAGUACUUGAAAGAUAUUAAAGUGAAGUUCUCAGAUGCUGGCCAGCCCAUGAGUUUUAUCUUAGAAUUUCAUGUUGAACCCAAUGAAUUUCACAAAUGAAGUGUUGACAAAGACAUACAGAAUGAGGACAGAACCAGACCAUUCUGAUCUCUUUUCUUUUGAUGGACCCAAAAUUAUGGGUUGUAUAGGGUGCCAGAUAGAUUGGAAAAAAGGAAAGAAUGUCACUUUGAAAACUAUUAAGAAGAAGCAGAAACACAAGGGACGAGGGACAGUUCAUACCGUGACUAAAACAGUUUCCAAUGAUUCUUUCUUUAAUUUUUUUGCCCCUCCUGAAGUUCCUGACAGUGGAGAUCUGGAUGAUGAUGCUAAAGCUAUUCUUGCUGCAGACUUUGAAAUUGGUCACUUUUUACAUGAGCAUAUAACCCCGAGAUCAGUGUUAUACUUCACUGGAGAAGGUAUUGAAGAUGAUGAUGAUGAUUAUGAUGAAGAAGGUGAAGAGCGGAUGAGGGUUAUCAGCUCUUUGAAGAAGUCAAAAGCUGCAGUAAAUCUUUUCAAUAA
Marmota flaviventris (yellow-bellied marmot) is the source of this 1136-nucleotide non-coding RNA. The record is from RefSeq and is a predicted model, not a curated record. Lineage: Eukaryota; Metazoa; Chordata; Mammalia; Rodentia; Sciuridae.